UACGUAGGGGGCUAGCGUUGUCCGGAAUCAUUGGGCGUAAAGCGCGUGUAGGCGGCCCGGUAAGUCCGCUGUGAAAGUCGGGGGCUCAACCCUCGGAUGCCGGUGGAUACUGUCGGGCUUGAGUGCGGAAGAGGCGAGUGGAAUUCCUGGUGUAGCGGUGAAAUGCGCAGAUAUCAGGAGGAACACCAAUUGCGAAGGCAGCUCGCUGGGACGUGACUGACGCUGAGACGCGAAAGCGUGGGGAGCAAACAGG
Molecule: ribosomal RNA, 253 nt
Filed under: uncultured bacterium
Lineage: Bacteria
Description: partial 16S ribosomal RNA
Rfam family: Bacterial small subunit ribosomal RNA
Source: RNAcentral